AGUGAACGCUGGCGGUAGGCCUAACACAUGCAAGUCGAACGGCAGCACAGUAAGAGCUUGCUCUUACGGGUGGCGAGUGGCGGACGGGUGAGGAGUACAUCGGAAUCUACUUUUUCGUGGGGGAAAACGUAGGGAAACUUACGCUAAUACCGCAUACGACCUACGGGUGAAAGCAGGGGAUCUUCGGACCUUGCGCGAUUGAAUGAGCCGAUGUCGGAUUAGCUAGUUGGCGGGGUAAAGGCCCACCAAGGCGACGAUCCGUAGCUGGUCUGAGAGGAUGAUCAGCCACACUGGAACUGAGACACGGUCCAGACUCCUACGGGAGGCAGCAGUGGGGAAUAUUGGACAAUGGGCGCAAGCCUGAUCCAGCCAUACCGCGUGGGUGAAGAAGGCCUUCGGGUUGUAAAGCCCUUUUGUUGGGAAAGAAAAGCAGCAGGUUAAUACCCCGCUGUUCUGACGGUACCCAAAGAAUAAGCACCGGCUAACUUCGUG
RNAcentral lists this ribosomal RNA (492 nucleotides) under uncultured bacterium. RNAcentral describes it as "partial 16S ribosomal RNA". It matches the Rfam family "Bacterial small subunit ribosomal RNA", at positions 29 to 507 of the family's 1533-position model. The record is from RNAcentral.